This 510-nucleotide ribosomal RNA is filed under the name uncultured bacterium. RNAcentral describes it as "partial 16S ribosomal RNA". It matches the Rfam family "Bacterial small subunit ribosomal RNA", at positions 28 to 507 of the family's 1533-position model. The record is from RNAcentral.
GACAAACGCUGGCGGCAUGCCUAACACAUGCAAGUCGAACGGACAGAACAGGGAAGCUUUUCGGAGUGGAACUGGAAAGUUAGUGGCGGAUGGGUGAGUAACGCGUGGACAACCUACCUUGUAAGGGGAAUAACCUCGAGAAAUCGAAGCUAAUACCCCAUAAUAACCUUGCUUCGCAGGAAGUAAGGAGGAAAGGCGGCCUUAGCGCGGUCGAUACAAGAUUGGUCCGCGUCUGAUUAGCUAGUUGGUGAGGUAAAGGCUCACCAAGGCGACGAUCAGUAGCAGGAAUGAGAGGGUGAACGGCCAGAUUGGGACUGAGACCGGGCCCAAACUCCUACGGGAGGCAGCAGUGGGGAAUCUUCCGGAAUGGGCGAAAGCCUGACGGAGCAAUGCCGCGUGAGUGAAGAAGGCCUUCGGGUUGUAAAACUCUGUCCUUAUCGAAGAGAGAGUGUUGUAGUAACUGACAAUACUAGGACGGUAGAUGAGGAGGAAGCCACGGCUAACUAUGUG